UGCCAGCAGCCGCGGUAAUACGGAGGGUGCAAGCGUUAUUCGGAAUUAUUGGGCGUAAAGCGCACGUAGGCGGAUCGUUAAGUCAGCUGUGAAAGCCCUGGGCUCAACCUGGGAACUGCGUCCGAAACUGCGUGGCUAGAGUCCGGGAGAGGGUAGUGGAAUUCCCAGUGUAGCGGUGAAAUGCGUAGAUAUUGGGAGGAACACCAGUGGCGAAGGCGGCUACCUGGACCGGUACUGACGCUGAGGCGCGAAAGCGUGGGGAGCAAACAGGAUUAGAUA
RNAcentral lists this ribosomal RNA (279 nucleotides) under uncultured bacterium. Its description in RNAcentral is "partial 16S ribosomal RNA". It matches the Rfam family "Bacterial small subunit ribosomal RNA", at positions 506 to 784 of the family's 1533-position model. The record is from RNAcentral.